This 491-nucleotide ribosomal RNA is filed under the name uncultured bacterium. RNAcentral describes it as "bacterial SSU rRNA". It matches the Rfam family "Bacterial small subunit ribosomal RNA", at positions 30 to 513 of the family's 1533-position model. The record is from RNAcentral.
AUUGAACGCUGGCGGCAUGCCUUACACAUGCAAGUCGAACGGCAGCACGGGAGCAAUCCUGGUGGCGAGUGGCGAACGGGUGAGUAAUAUAUCGGAACGUGCCCGGUCGUGGGGGAUAACGUAGCGAAAGCUACGCUAAUACCGCAUACGAUCUACGGAUGAAAGCGGGGGAUCGCAAGACCUCGCGCGAUUGGAGCGGCCGAUAUCAGAUUAGGUAGUUGGUGAGGUAAAGGCUCACCAAGCCGACGAUCUGUAGCUGGUCUGAGAGGACGACCAGCCACACUGGGACUGAGACACGGCCCAGACUCCUACGGGAGGCAGCAGUGGGGAAUAUUGGACAAUGGGCGAAAGCCUGAUCCAGCCAUGCCGCGUGUGUGAAGAAGGUCUUCGGAUUGUAAAGCACUUUAAGUUGGGAGGAAGGGUAGUAACCGUAAUACGUUGCUACUUUGACGUUACCGACAGAAUAAGCACCGGCUAACUUCGUGCCAGCA